Homo sapiens (human) is the source of this 295-nucleotide long non-coding RNA. NCBI's taxonomy places the organism in Eukaryota, Metazoa, Chordata, Mammalia, Primates, Hominidae. The record is from Ensembl.
UUUAAUAUUUUUAUGUAAUAAAAAGUAAAAGUCCUUGUCCAGCCAUCCUCGUGGGGCAUCUGUCUGUCUCUCACACAGGUCACUCAAGUUAAUGGGAAAGAAAGAACAGGGGGCCCAAGUCUGAAGUUAUAAAUAAUAGAAAAUAAAAGAUCUUCCGUCUCCAGCGGGGGAAUAGAUGAGAGGAUGGGAGGGCAAGACUGGGUGGGGACGGGCAGGGGCAGAGCAGGAACCCCCCACCCCUGCUGGACCCUGGCCCUGCCCUCUGUGAGGCAGAGGGAUAUACUUCCCCUCCCUG